CAGUAGCCGCGGUAAUACGUAGGUGGCAAGCGUUGUCCGGAAUUAUUGGGCGUAAAGAGCUCGCAGGCGGUUUCUUAAGUCUGAUGUGAAAGCCCCGGGCUCAACCGGGGAGGGUCAUUGGAAACUGGGAAACUAGAGUGCAGAAGAGGAGAGUGGAAUUCCACGUGUAGCGGUGAAAUGCGUAGAGAUGUGGAGGAACACCAGUGGCGAAGGCGACUCUCUGGUCUGUAACUGACGCUGAGGAGCGAAAGCGUGGGGAGCGAACAGGAUUAGAUACCCCAGUAGUCCCUGUCUCUUAUAA
This 301-nucleotide ribosomal RNA is filed under the name uncultured bacterium. Its description in RNAcentral is "partial 16S ribosomal RNA". It matches the Rfam family "Bacterial small subunit ribosomal RNA", at positions 509 to 809 of the family's 1533-position model. The record is from RNAcentral.